UCCGGUUGAUCCUGCCGGACCCGACUGCUAUUUGGGUGAGAAUAAGCCAUGCGAGUUGAAUGGGAUACCUAAAGUUCCCAUAGCAAACUGCUCAGUAACACAUGAUCAACUUACCCUAUAGAGAAAAAUAACCUCGGGAAACUGAGGAUAAUGUUUCAUAAUUGAAUUGGCUUGGAAAAGUUUUUCAAUGAAAGGGAUAAAAAAAAUGGUUUUUAUCUGCUAUAGGAUAGGAUCGUGUUCGAUUAUGGUUGUUGGUGAGAUAAUGGCUCACCAAGCCGAUAAUCGAUAGGGGCCGUGAGAGCGGGAGCCCCGAGAUGGGUACUGAGACAACGACCCAGGCCUUACGAGGCGCAGCAGGCGCGGAACCUCCGCAAUACACGAAAGUGUGACGGGGUUACCCAAAGUGUUCAAUAGAACUGUGGUAGGUGAGUAAUGUCCCCUACUAGAAAGGAGAGGGCAAGGCUGGUGCCAGCCGCCGCGGUAAAACCAGCUCUUCAAGUGGUCGGGAUAAUUAUUGGGCUUAAAGUGUCCGUAGCCGGUUUAGUAAGUUCCUGGUAAAAUCGGGUAGCUUAACUAUCUGCAUGCUAGGAAUACUGCUAUACUAGAGGGCGGGAGAGGUCUGAGGUACUACAGGGGUAGGGGUGAAAUCUUAUAAUCCUUGUAGGACCACCAGUGGCGAAGGCGUCAGACUGGAACGCGCCUGACGGUGAGGGACGAAAGCCAGGGGAGCGAACCGGAUUAGAUACCCGGGUAGUCCUGGCCGUAAACGAUGCAUACUAGGUGAUGGUACGGCCAUGAGCCGUAUCAGUGCCGUAGGGAAACCGUUAAGUGUGCCGCCUGGGAAGUACGGUCGCAAGGCUAAAACUUAAAGGAAUUGGCGGGGGAGCAC
This 889-nucleotide ribosomal RNA is filed under the name uncultured archaeon. RNAcentral describes it as "bacterial SSU rRNA". It matches the Rfam family "Archaeal small subunit ribosomal RNA", at positions 1 to 879 of the family's 1478-position model. The record is from RNAcentral.